AAUUCAUUAACAAUUCCCACAAAUACUUUCUACAAUUUUUUAUCAUAUUUAUAAACUCUAAAACACCUCUUCCAAAAUUAUUUAUUCUGUUCGUAUCGAAUUCGUUACCUUUUACUCGAAUUAUUCAAUCAUUACUGUAAUAUUCAGGGAAUUUUUUAUUAACAAUUUGUAAAAAAUCAUUAACAUUUCAGUCUAUUAUUUAACGACAAGAAAUUCCGGCUUUCAAAUACGAAUGCCGCCCCCACGGAUCAAAUCCUUAUCUCGUCACACAGUUUAGUAAUUUUUCCAAUUCCAUCAACAUUGUCCGUCUUAUCAUAAAAAACCUAUUGUUUAUUGCUUAGCAACACGUCCCCUCGAUGCCACGUGAUACGUCAUGCCCAGUGAUUGGUUGGAUAAACAUUUAAAAUAUCGAACGGUAUUUUAAAAAUUACCGGAGGAUUUUUAAAAAAUUCUGAAAAAUCCACGCGACCAUGAGUUUGAGGUUAUACCUGGAUCAAUCGACGCUCGGUGAAUUCUCAGAAGUCACGAGUCAAUAACAAGAACACUCAACAACACAAUCAUGUCUGAAAACUCACUGUGCGAAUAACUUUAUGCCAUGCAUCGGUAUCUCAAUGUAAUCGGACCUCUCAAGUACAAUGGGAUAAGAAUAUAAAUUUAACAUUUCGUAUGGGUUUAUCACUCGCCCAGAUGACCUCCCAAGCAACGAAGGAUUUGAUUAAUAGUCAUUUCAAGUCAUUUUAGUAAUUGAAGAGUCACGGAUUCGAAUCCCAAAUUUUUCUCUCGAAAAUUCUGACUUCUACAGAAUAUUCAUCUCCAAAAUUCAUUCGUUUUUCGUUUUGAAUAAAAAUAGUGGAUUGAUAUGAAUAUUUUUUUAACGAUAAAUUGGCGUUUUUAGACAAAAAUACUUCGAUGAUUUAAUUUUAAUCGAAUGAUUUUAAUGCUAUUAAAAAUCUUCGGUAAUCACAUUAAUUUUUUUGUUAUUUAUGGGAUAAUAGUUUUCCGGAGUCGAUUAUUGGAAAAAUAAGUGAUAAGUGGUUCAGUAAUUACCGAAUAUGAUGAAACAUCGACAGUUUUUAAUCUUAUCCUCAUCGUCGUGAUGACGAAACAGAGAGCAAAACAGAAAACGUGACAGUUUCAUGGAAUCAUUCAAAUCAAUCUGCGGUAUCUUAUUUAGCCCCAGAGCUUUAUUGUGAUGUUUUCAUUUCUAAUGCAAUGUUUUCUUCUCAGAAUCGAGGGAUUUUUCCAGAUGGGGAUCGAACAAAGAAUUUCCUCCGGGGGUCCAACAGUAAAUCGGCAGCCGUUAAUUGCAAAAAAAUGGGAUAAAAGUCAUUAAAAAAAGACUUAUAAUGAUUCACGUGUGCGAUACAUGUACGCAUGUACCAAAAAUGAUAGCUUAUCAUAAUAGUGUCAGUAGUGAUAGAUGGUUUAUGACUUUUGGCGGUCAUCAGAUACCAAAAAUUGCUAAUCAAUUGCCUAAGGCACGAGGCAAAGAUGAUGAAAACCUUCAGGACGAUGACUGGGCAAAUUAUGUUAUGAUCUAUAAAUAUUCUGUUUUGUGAAGUUGAAAAACUAAUUAUCACAAUUAUCACUAGUUUAUGAAUUUUUUCUCGAUCCCCCCGGAGUAAUCAAUUAAUCUGUAGUCUAUUUCUGUAGAAUCAGGUGAUUAUGUCAAUUAGUAAUUUUCACUGGAUAUUUUUAGAGUCAAGUUUUUCUGAUAAUGAAAAAAAAUAAAUUUAUUGUGUGAAUUCAUUGUUAGCAGUUUCCCGAUCUGAGGAGAUCUAUCACCACCGGAAAUUGAGAGAUCUUUGGUGAAAUUCAAAUUUCGGUUCUUUCUUCGGUGUCUGAAUUUCAGUGACUCCUGAUCUUCCUUUUGUUAUGAAAAUAGUCCGGACUUAGACUUCACCUCUGCCCCUGAAAUUCUAUGAAAUCUCAUUGAAAUCGAAGCAUCACGAUUUCUCUGUCGUUUUUUCCCCGAGCACGUGGGAUGAUAAUUAGAAGUGUUUUUAAUAAAAAAUAGAUGGAUGUAUCGGCUGAUAAUUAUUAAAGAGCGGCACUAUUUCCUCUGUUAUUUUUAUCAAUUUAGUAAUUGUUGGGAAAAGGGAGAAGGAAAUGUUGAAGGAAUUUCAUUUAGGACAUGAAUUUAUAUAUUUUUAUUUUCGAAGGGGUGGGUCGUGGACGUUUGUACAUUUGAUUGGGCAGAUCUUUCAGGAUUAUUACGAAAUGAUAAGCGAUAUUUUUUCGAUGGAGACAGCUUUUGAUUGAUAACACACUUGUCAGUAGACGGUACACAUGGAGUAAACAAACGCGUCUUUGUUUUCAGAGCCGAGAGGAUUGUCCGCAAAUGUAAAAGAGAUUGAAUUUUUUUUCCUGAAACAGCUGGAAAAAUAGAAUUUUAUUUUGAGAUUUGUUAUUUCAGUUUCAGGCCUUCGAUAAACUGGUAUUAAAACUUUUAAAGAACUC
Fopius arisanus is the source of this 2460-nucleotide long non-coding RNA. RefSeq lists it as uncharacterized. The transcript is spliced from 2 exons. The record is from RefSeq and is a predicted model, not a curated record. Lineage: Eukaryota; Metazoa; Arthropoda; Insecta; Hymenoptera; Braconidae.